UACGUAGGGUGCAAGCGUUGUCCGGAAUUAUUGGGCGUAAAGAGCUCGUAGGCGGUCUGUCGCGUCGGCUGUGAAAACCCGGAGCUCAACUCCGGGCCUGCAGUCGAUACGGGCAGACUGGAGUUCGGCAGGGGAGACUGGAAUUCCUGGUGUAGCGGUGAAAUGCGCAGAUAUCAGGAGGAACACCGGUGGCGAGGGCGGGUCUCUGGGCCGAUACUGACGCUGAGGAGCGAAAGCGUGGGGAGCGAACAGG
Molecule: ribosomal RNA, 253 nt
Filed under: uncultured bacterium
Lineage: Bacteria
Description: partial 16S ribosomal RNA
Rfam family: Bacterial small subunit ribosomal RNA
Source: RNAcentral